Acanthosepion pharaonis is the source of this 102-nucleotide non-coding RNA. Lineage: Eukaryota; Metazoa; Mollusca; Cephalopoda; Sepiida; Sepiidae. The record is from the annotation of a GenBank genome assembly.
AGUAUUGAAACACCAGUUCCCAUAUGAACAUUAAAGUUAAGCAAUGUCAAACCUGGUUAGUACCGAGAUGGGUGACCACUUGGGAUUACUAGGUGCUGUAAG